GAUGAACGCUGGCGGCGUGCCUAAUACAUGCAAGUCGAGCGAACAGACGAGGAGCUUGCUCCUCUGACGUUAGCGGCGGACGGGUGAGUAACACGUGGAUAACCUACCUAUAAGACUGGGAUAACUUCGGGAAACCGGAGCUAAUACCGGAUAAUAUAUUGAACCGCAUGGUUCAAUAGUGAAAGACGGUUUUGCUGUCACUUAUAGAUGGAUCCGCGCCGCAUUAGCUAGUUGGUAAGGUAACGGCUUACCAAGGCAACGAUGCGUAGCCGACCUGAGAGGGUGAUCGGCCACACUGGAACGGAGCCACGGUCAAGACUCCUACGGGAGGCAGCAGUAGGGAAUCUUCCGCAAUGGGCGAAAGCUUGACGGAGCAACGCCGCGUGAGUGAUGAAGGUCUUCGGAUCGUAAAACUCUGUUAUUAGGGAAGAACAAAUGUGUAAGUAACUAUGCACGUCUUGACGGUACCUAAUCAGAAAGCCACGGCUAACUACGUG
This 497-nucleotide ribosomal RNA is filed under the name uncultured bacterium. RNAcentral's name for it is "partial 16S ribosomal RNA". It matches the Rfam family "Bacterial small subunit ribosomal RNA", at positions 28 to 507 of the family's 1533-position model. The record is from RNAcentral.